RNAcentral lists this ribosomal RNA (368 nucleotides) under Enchytraeus doerjesi. Its description in RNAcentral is "partial 12S ribosomal RNA". The record is from RNAcentral. Lineage: Eukaryota; Metazoa; Annelida; Clitellata; Enchytraeida; Enchytraeidae.
UAAAGACUUACCAAUAUACCGAUAAAUAACAUCAACAGAUAUAAAUUCAAAGAAUUUGGCGGUGUCUUAUAUACUCAGGGGAACCUGUUUCUUAAUUCGAUAUUCCACGAAAAUCAAUCCACUUUUAGAAAAUCAGCCUGUGUACUGCUGUCGUAAGCAAACCUCUAAAAGCUAGUUUGCAAUAAUAAAUAUAUUAAUCACGUCAAGUCAAAGUGCAGCCAAUAAAGUGGAGUACAAUGGGUUACAAUCUCUAUAAGGACUACGAACUUAUUUAAUAAAAAAAUAAUAAAGGUGGACUUGAUAGUAACUAUUAAAAGAAAAUAUAGUAAACUAUUAAUCUAAGACAUGCACACAUCGCCCGUCACUCU